This 468-nucleotide ribosomal RNA is filed under the name uncultured bacterium. Its description in RNAcentral is "partial 16S ribosomal RNA". It matches the Rfam family "Bacterial small subunit ribosomal RNA", at positions 28 to 507 of the family's 1533-position model. The record is from RNAcentral.
GACGAACGCUGGCGGCGCGCCUAACACAUGCAAGUCGAACGGAGCUGAGAGAAGCUUGCUUUUCUUAGCUUAGUGGCGAACGGGUGAGUAACGCGUGAGUAACCUGCCCUGGAGUGGGGGACAACAGUUGGAAACGACUGCUAAUACCGCAUAAGCCCACGAUCCGGCAUCGGAUUGAGGGAAAAGGAUUUAUUCGCUUCAGGAUGGACUCGCGUCCAAUUAGCUAGUUGGUGAGGUAACGGCCCACCAAGGCGACGAUUGGUAGCCGGACUGAGAGGUUGAACGGCCACAUUGGGACUGAGACACGGCCCAGACUCCUACGGGAGGGAGCAGUGGGGGAUAUUGCACAAUGGGGGAAACCCUGAUGCAGCGACGCCGCGUGGAGGAAGAAGGUUUUCGGAUUGUAAACUCCUGUCGUUAGGGACGAUAAUGACGGUACCUAACAAGAAAGCACCGGCUAACUACGUG